AAAAAAAAAAAAGUCAGUCUUUCAUUUUAGUGUAAAAGUACAUCUAAGGAACAGUGAAACUUUGUAAACUGUUUACAUCUUACACGUUUCCUUGUUGGGAAAUGUCAAGGUAGAGUUAAGAUAUUUAAGAUCGAGUGAGAAAGUACAAAGAUGAAUGAGGAUAUCAUAUAAUGUAAUGACAGCAGACUUCAGCCUCACCAGCAUUCACUUUUGUGUUAACAUUCUUAGGAUUUCAACAGAGCCUCUUAUUGUCAUGUGGUGCAUGAUGCUCACUCAUAGGUACCAACUGAAAAUAGUUAUUUUUCAAAUCCUAUAUGUGUAAGCUUGUGAGGCUUCAGAUUUUUUUUCAUGUUGUUCUAAAAUCUUGGCAACAGUGAAAAAUGUUCAAAACUCUCCAAUAAAGUGACUGAUAGCAACUUCUAUGCCAAAUUUUAGUCAUAAAAAUGCUCUAUUUGAUAUAGCGUACACAUCAUUAGACAAGAACCUACAGGUUUUAUAUUAUACGGCUGGGAGCAAAGGAAUAGCAAUGGAUGGUUAAGGAGAAGUACAAAAAAAAAAAGUGUCUCCUCAGCCUAAUUUUUUCCUCCAUAUCCUGCACAGGAAACAGAAAUUUCCACCAUUUGUAUUAUUCCCUAAGAUUAAGAUGGUGACUUCACAGGAAAUUUCUAAAAGGGUAACCCAUGAAUCCUCCUGAAUUUUUUUUCUCAGAUAAUACACCCCUGAAAGCUAUAUUUUAAUGCUGACUGUAAGGUGGGGCACAGAAAGCCUAAGACAUGAAAGGAAUGUUAGAUGUCUGAGAGAAGAGAGCAGGUGGGGUUGUUUAUAGACAGUCUGGCCAUCUAAGAGGGAGUGAAAAAUAAAGAGCAAAUAGAGGAUGAAAGCAGGGGCACUUAUUUAUAAAGUCAUAGCAAUUUGGGAUAGCAUUUUCCUAUCACAGUUAUCUGAAACUUUUUUUCCUAUCACAGAUUUGUUACAGAUUGCAGAUAAGUUGUUUAUAAAUCCAAAAUCAUGCAUAGGUAAUCUAUUUGAAUAAGAAAUUUAUCAGAUUUGGUAGAAAGAAGGCAAACAUAUAAACAUAAAUUAGCUAUGUAUAUUUUAGGAAAAAAUAGUAAAGUUGUAAAAUUAUAUAUUAUACUAAAUCCCCCAGAAAAUGUCGAAUACAAAAUAACAAUUCUAAUGCCCCCAAAAUACGUGAACUCUACACAAAUAAAAGCAUUAUUAAAGAAAUUUGAACGUACCUAAAUAAAUUGAAGAAAAGUCAUUUUUGUCAGCUUCACUCCCUAUGCAACCGCUUUUCUUUAACUUUUUAAUGCACAUUAAUUCUUAAAAUGACGUCACUUCCCGCAACUCCUUCUUAGAGGAUGGCCCUCAGGCUGCCAGAGCUCAAUGUAAAUGGGUAUAAGGAGAACCACAGUGUGUGAAAUCAAAUCCAUUGGGCAGCUCCUCCCAAAGGCUGAUUGGAUCGGGCAUAAAAAUACUCCAGUUAUCUUUGACUCAUUAUCUCUGAUGUGUCUUCCAUACACUCCAGAGCUUUCCUAUGAGAUUGAGCCAAAUAAGUUUCAUGGGAAUUCCAAGGAAAUUUACUUGAUACCGACUUUUUGUUUGAAUUCCUUCUAAUAAACGAGGACUUAGUAACAAAAGCUUAAAGAGAUUAAUGGAAUUACAUCAGACUAAAAGCUUCUGCCCAGCCAAAGAAACAAUCAACAACAAAAUAAAGAAAUAGCCUAUGGAAUAGGAGAAAAUAUUAGCAAAAUUUUUAUCUUCUAAGGGGUUCACACCCAAAAUAUAUAAGGUACUCCAACAACUCAAUAGAAAGAAAACAAAGAACUUGAAAGUAGUCAAAGAAUCUGAACAGAUAUUUCUCAACAAAAGACAUUCAAAUGGCCAAAAGGUAUAUGAAAAAAUGCUCAAUAGCACUAAUUUUCAGGUAAAUGCAAAUUAAAACCACAGUUUAUCACAUCACCACCUGUUAGAAUAGCUAUUAUCAAAUAUAAAAAAGAUAAAUGUUGGUGAGAAAAAGGAAACCCUUGUGCAUUACAGUCAUUAUGAAAAACAGUAUGGAGGUUCUUUCAUGAAAUUAAAAAUAGAAUAAUCUUAUGAUCUAGCAAUUCCAUUACUAAGUACAUAUCCAAAGGAAAUGAAGUCAGUAUGAAAAACAUAUCUACAUACCAUUUUUAUUGCAGCACUAUUCACAAUAGCCAAUAUAUAGAUGCAACUUACGUGUCCAUGCAUGGAUGAACGGAUAAAGCAAACGUGGUAUAUAUACGUAAUGAAAAACUAUUUCACCUUUAAAAAUAAGGAAAUCUUAUCAUUUUUGAUGAUAAGGAUGAACCUGGAGUACAUUACGUUAAGUGAAAUAAGCCAGGCACAGGAAGACAACUACUGCAUUACCUUUGAAUGUGGCAUCUAAGAGUUGAACUCAACUAAUUGUAUGUGGAAUCUAAGAGCUGAACUCAUAGAAGCAGAGUAGAAUUGUAGUUUCCAGGGCCUGGAAAGACAGGAGGUGUUGGGGAGAUGUUGGCCCAAGGAUAUGCAAUUUCAGUUAGAUAAAGAGGAGUAAGUUCAAGAGAUGUAUUGUACGAUAUGGUGACUGUGUCAAUGACAAUGUAUUCUUGAAAAUUGCUAAGAAAGUAGAUUUUAGUUACAUACGUAUACAUGUGCCAUGCUGGUGUGCUGCACCCACUAACUCGUCAUCUAGCAUUAGGUAUAUCUCCCAUUGCUAUCCCCCCCUCUGCUUGUGCACAUGUACCCUAAAACUUAAAGUAUAAUAAUAAAAAUAAAUAAAUUAAUUAAUUAAUUAAUUAAUUAAAUUCAUCAAACCGUAAAAAAAAAAAAAAAAGAAAGUAGAUUUUAAGGCUGGGCACGGUGGCUCAUGCCUG
Molecule: long non-coding RNA, 2879 nt
Filed under: Homo sapiens (human)
Lineage: Eukaryota; Metazoa; Chordata; Mammalia; Primates; Hominidae
Description: non-protein coding lnc-ROBO2-14:1
Source: RNAcentral